Molecule: ribosomal RNA, 501 nt
Filed under: uncultured bacterium
Lineage: Bacteria
Description: partial 16S ribosomal RNA
Rfam family: Bacterial small subunit ribosomal RNA
Source: RNAcentral
AUUGAACGCUGGCGGCAGGCUUAACACAUGCAAGUCGAGCGGAGAUGAGGUGCUUGCACCUUAUCUUAGCGGCGGACGGGUGAGUAAUGCUUAGGAAUCUGCCUAUUAGUGGGGGACAACAUUCCGAAAGGAAUGCUAAUACCGCAUACGUCCUACGGGAGAAAGCAGGGGAUCUUCGGACCUUGCGCUAAUAGAUGAGCCUAAGUCGGAUUAGCUAGUUGGUGGGGUAAAGGCCUACCAAGGCGACGAUCUGUAGCGGGUCUGAGAGGAUGAUCCGCCACACUGGGACGGAGACACGGCCCAGAGUCCUACGGGAGGCAGCAGUGGGGAAUAUUGGACAAUGGGGGAAACCCUGAUCCAGCCAUGCCGCGUGUGUGAAGAAGGCCUUAUGGUUGUAAAGCACUUUAAGCGAGGAGGAGGCUACUGAGACUAAUACUCUUGGAUAGUGGACGUUACUCGCAGAAUAAGCACCGGCUAACUCUGUGCCAGCAGCCGCCGUAA